This is a long non-coding RNA of Sarcophilus harrisii (Tasmanian devil), 1860 nucleotides long. RefSeq lists it as uncharacterized. The transcript has 3 exons. NCBI's taxonomy places the organism in Eukaryota, Metazoa, Chordata, Mammalia, Dasyuromorphia, Dasyuridae. The record is from RefSeq and is a predicted model, not a curated record.
CAGGUGCGCGGGGCCGGGCUGCCGGAGACAAUGCGAGCGGCCCGGGAGAGUGGGGGGAGGAGGUUUCGGGGCGGCGACGGGCGGGCUGCCUUUUUCUUCGUCCCCUCCCCGCUCCGCGGCCGCCCUCGCAGCUGCAGGACACACAAUCGGCCGCCCGACCACAGCCACCGUGCAUAAUUAGCCGUGGGGAGGGGGCGCCUUUCACAGGGCUGCGUUCCCCCCGCCCGCCGGCCCCUGGAACCCCCUGCCCAACAAAAGCCGCUUUCUUUGGUGUCGAGGAUGAACUUUACAAUUCAGUGAAGACCCCUUUCCCAGGUCCCACUAUAAAUGGAUGGGAUUGCCUGGCAACUGGGAAACUGACCUCAAACCCAAGACCAUGACCUGGCCAGAGAUAGAAUUAUCAGUUGCUAGAGAUGGGCCUAACCAGUCGUGAGUUCAAGAAGAACUAUGUUUAAAUCUGGCUCUCAGACUCUUGCUAGCUGUAAAACCCGGAGCAAGUCAUUAACCCCAUCAUCAAAAAAUAAAUAAAUAAAAGAUUAGUGAAGAAUUCUAGCUUGCCGUUAUACCUAUUUUAUAUACCUAUAUAUCCUGAUCAUGUAAAAAUUUCUCAGGCCCCGUUCUAGCGCAUUUUUCAAAGUUAACUUUCUAUAUUCUGUUAUUUCUUAUUCUGAUUUAUUUUGAUUAUUCUCAUUUUAUAUGACACUAUAUAUAUAUAAUGAGAAUAUUCUUAUUUUAUAUGACACUGUAUAUUUUUAGAAGACACAAGGUCGCUACUAGGUCCAAUGGCUUGAUCAAGACCAUCCUGGUAGCAAGCACAAGAUUUGAAUACAACUAUUCCAAUGCCAAAGUCACUACUCUUUCCAUUGAUUUUUUUCUUAUUUUAAGGUCUAUGUUUUAAAUUUCUUUUUCACAUUUAAUAAUCUGUUCCUGAGGUCUCGUCCAGCUCUGACAGCCUGGAUUCCCACCAGAGCACCCAGAAGCAAGCCUCUCUGCAACCCCAUCAAGGGUUACACAUCAGACCCCAAAUUGACCAGAGCUGUUCAACUUUCUCAUUUUUAUGACUAUCUCCAUUAAAUGACGCCUCCAUCUGUAAAAACAAAACAAAACAUGUUACACUCCACUUACUGUCCAUCAACUGCCCACCUUGUUUGACCUUAGUCCUGGCUUUUCUUCUAGUCCUAACACUCUAUGAGUCUAUUAUUCAUGCCAAAUAAAAACAAAUUUCCCAUAGCCAAAUAAAAAUCAUCCAAGAGAACGAAUCAUCCCAGAGUUCAUUUUCAUUUUGGUCUACCAUUUUUUUAUUCUUCCAGGAAACCAUUACCCAGUAAGACACAGAAAGCUAUUAAAAGAAAGUAAAAGUUUCACAACUGAAUUCCAAGCAAAUAAGAUCAAACAAUGCAUGCACCAAGGGCCUCAUCCACCCACUGGAACUUGUGGCUCUGAAAGGGGGGAAAUUGUUAACAGACUCGCAGUUACCAAUUUGGUGGCCCAGCCAAGGAAGCUGAUAGGUCUGCUGGUCUCCCACGGUGGUUUGAACUAAGAACCAGAAGAAGGCUGGGGCCUGCAAUAGGACGAGCAAGUAUUCACUAGGAGAAUAUUAGCUUGAGAGAAUGUGAGCUCUUUGAAGGCGACAACUGUUUCUCCUUUUUUGUCUCCAUCCCUAGAUAGCACCAGGAACAUAAUUAGCAUCCAAAUAAUGCUUAUUGAAUUAAGAUAAGUAAAGAAAAAGAUGAAUGCUUAUUGAAUGAAUGAAGAAGUAGGUAGCAUAGGUAUAUUGUAAAUAAGUGUUGUGGAAGGAGGGAAGGAAGGAAGGAAGAAAAAGAGGGAGAGAGGGAAAGAGGAAGGAAAAAAGAAAGGAAG